This 211-nucleotide unclassified non-coding RNA is filed under the name uncultured Pseudotomentella. RNAcentral describes it as "sequence contains ITS1". Lineage: Eukaryota; Fungi; Basidiomycota; Agaricomycetes; Thelephorales; Thelephoraceae. The record is from RNAcentral.
AUGAAAUGAAUGUCGAAAAGGGUUGUAGCUGGCCUCUUGAGGCAUGUGCACACCUUGAUCGCACAUCCACAUCUCACACCUGUGCACAACCUGUAGCUUGGGAUGAUUACAAUGCUGGGAACAGUGUUGAAAGCCCUUGCUAUGAAAUUUUACACACACAUAUUAAAAGUUAUAGAAUGUUAUAUAGCGUGUAACAGCGCAAAUAAAUAUA